AGUCGAACGAGAGAGAGGAAGCUUGCUUCCUCAAUCGAGUGGCGAACGGGUGAGUAACGCGUGAGGAACCUGCCUCAAAGAGGGGGACAACAGUUGGAAACGACUGCUAAUACCGCAUAAGCCCACGGGUCGGCAUCGACCAGAGGGAAAAGGAGCAAUCCGCUUUGAGAUGGCCUCGCGUCCGAUUAGCUGGUUGGUGAGGUAAUGGCCCACCAAGGCGACGAUCGGUAGCCGGACUGAGAGGUUGAACGGCCACAUUGGGACUGAGACACGGCCCAGACUCCUACGGGAGGCAGCAGUGGGGAAUAUUGCACAAUGGGGGAAACCCUGAUGCAGCGACGCCGCGUGGAGGAAGAAGAUCUUCGGAUUGUAAACUCCUGUUGUUGAGGAAGAUAAUGACGGUACUCAACAAGGAAGUGACGGCUAACUACGUGCCAGCAGCCGCGGUAAAACGUAGGUCACAAGCGUUGUCCGGAAUUACUGGGUGUAAAGGGAGCGCAGGCGGGAAGACAAGUUGGAAGUGAAAUCUAUGGGCUCAACCCAUAAACUGCUUUCAAAACUGUUUUUCUUGAGUAGUGCAGAGGUAGGCGGAAUUCCCGGUGUAGCGGUGGAAUGCGUAGAUAUCGGGAGGAACACCAGUGGCGAAGGCGGCCUACUGGGCACCAACUGACGCUGAGGCUCGAAAGUGUGGGUAGCAAACAGGAUUAGAUACCCUGGUAGUCCACACCGUAAACGAUGAUUACUAGGUGCUGGAGGAUUGACCCCUUCAGUGCCGCAGUUAACACAAUAAGUAAUCCACCUGGGGAGUACGACCGCA
This 817-nucleotide ribosomal RNA is filed under the name uncultured bacterium. RNAcentral describes it as "bacterial SSU rRNA". It matches the Rfam family "Bacterial small subunit ribosomal RNA", at positions 60 to 890 of the family's 1533-position model. The record is from RNAcentral.